Molecule: ribosomal RNA, 409 nt
Filed under: Limosilactobacillus reuteri CF48-3A
Lineage: Bacteria; Bacillati; Bacillota; Bacilli; Lactobacillales; Lactobacillaceae
Description: Lactobacillus reuteri CF48-3A partial 16S ribosomal RNA
Source: RNAcentral
ACUGCUAAAGCAACGAUCAGCUUGGAGGCUGUCCGUUGCCCAGUCGAUAAGUUAGUAAUUUUCAUCCGGUCAUUCAAGCCAAAAACCUUUAGGAGACGGUUUGCUAGAUCAUAGUCAAAAUUAUUAUAAGCGGCAUCGGCCAAGUCAAAGGUUUGACUUAUCUUCAUGUGACGCGGAUAAAGAUUAACUUCACUCAUCAAAAAGAUCUUGCUGAGGAGGUCAUCAUUGUUAUUAACGUCUUCAUUACCAAUUUUUACUUCCCCGCUCGUUGGAAAAAUCCGGUUGCUCAUAAUAUUAAGAAGAGUCGUCUUUCCAGCCCCAUUCCGGCCAAGGAGACCAUAAAUUUUAGCAGGUUCUAGGAUAAAUGAAAUAUUAUCCAAUACUGUUUGGCGACGGUACUUUUUGACAA